Molecule: ribosomal RNA, 450 nt
Filed under: uncultured bacterium
Lineage: Bacteria
Description: partial 16S ribosomal RNA
Rfam family: Bacterial small subunit ribosomal RNA
Source: RNAcentral
GUGGGGAAUAUUGGACAAUGGGCGAAAGCCUGAUCCAGCCAUGACGCGUGUGUGAAGAAGGUCUUCGGAUUGUAAAGCACUUUAAGUUGGGAGGAAGGGCAGUAAGUUAAUACCUUGCUGUUUUGACGUUACCGACAGAAUAAGCACCGGCUAACUUCGUGCCAGCAGCCGCGGUAAUACGAAGGGUGCAAGCGUUAAUCGGAAUUACUGGGCGUAAAGCGCGCGUAGGUGGUUUUGUAAGUUGGAGGUGAAAUCCCCGGGCUCAACCUGGGAACUGCCUCCAAAACUGCAUGACUAGAGUACGGUAGAGUGUAGUGGAAUUUCCUGUGUAGCGGUGAAAUGCGUAAAUAUAGGAAGGAACACCAGUGGCGAAGGCGACUACCUGGACUGAUACUGACACUGAGGUGCGAAAGCGUGGGGAGCAAACAGGAUUAGAUACCCGAGUAGUCC